RNAcentral lists this transfer RNA (66 nucleotides) under bovine gut metagenome. It matches the Rfam family "tRNA". From Rfam's summary of the family: Transfer RNA (tRNA) molecules are approximately 80 nucleotides in length. Their secondary structure includes four short double-helical elements and three loops (D, anti-codon, and T loops). The record is from RNAcentral.
GGGUGUAGUACAACGGCAGUGCGGCGGUCUCCAAAACCGUUAAUGCGGGUUCGAUUCCUGCCACCC